This 467-nucleotide ribosomal RNA is filed under the name uncultured bacterium. RNAcentral describes it as "partial 16S ribosomal RNA". It matches the Rfam family "Bacterial small subunit ribosomal RNA", at positions 38 to 506 of the family's 1533-position model. The record is from RNAcentral.
GAAGAAAGAGGGAGGCGUGCUUAACACAUGCAAGUCGAACGGAAAGGCCCUGCUUUUGUGGGGUGCUCGAGUGGCGAACGGGUGAGUAACACGUGAGUAACCUGCCCUUGACUUUGGGAUAACUUCAGGAAACUGGGGCUAAUACCGGAUAGGAUCUCCUGCUGCAUGGUGGGGGUUGGAAAGUUUCGGCGGUUGGGGAUGGACUCGCGGCUUAUCAGCUUGUUGGUGGGGUAGUGGCUUACCAAGGCUUUGACGGGUAGCCGGCCUGAGAGGGUGACCGGCCACAUUGGGACUGAGAUACGGCCCAGACUCCUACAGGAGGCAGCAGUGGGGAAUAUUGCACAAUGGGCGGAAGCAUGAUGCAGCAACGCCGCGUGCGGGAUGACGGCCUUCGGGUUGUAAACCGCUUUCGCCUGUGACGAAGCGUGAGUGACGGUAAUGGGGAAAGAAGCACCGGCUAACUAAGU